GGGAAAAAAAAAGAAAGAAAAGAAUUUCGAAGGAUAUCAUGCUUGUGCGUGACUUAUUUGAAGUAAUUAACCCAAGACCAAGAGUUCAAAGUGUAGGCACCACAAAAAGAAAUCUGCAUGUAGGCGUCGGAGUUUUGCGUCAGCUCGGCGACCUUGCUGAGUUUGAGUGCCAAAUGACGAUGAUGAGUAGAAUGCUGAAUCGGUGGGGUCAAUUGAAAUUUGUUAUAAGCGGUGUUUAAAUUUGUACUACAAAUAUGGGAAUGGUUUUCAAGUAAACGAUAUUCUGAAUCAAGGACCAAC
Molecule: long non-coding RNA, 300 nt
Organism: Morus notabilis
Lineage: Eukaryota; Viridiplantae; Streptophyta; Magnoliopsida; Rosales; Moraceae
Exons: 3
Source: RefSeq, a predicted model, not a curated record